This 274-nucleotide ribosomal RNA is filed under the name uncultured bacterium. RNAcentral describes it as "partial small subunit ribosomal RNA". It matches the Rfam family "Bacterial small subunit ribosomal RNA", at positions 26 to 285 of the family's 1533-position model. The record is from RNAcentral.
AGAAUCAACGCUGGCGGCGUGCCUAACACAUGCAAGUCGAACGCGAAAGUGGAGCAAUCCAUGAGUAGAGUGGCAAACGGGUGAGUAACACGUGGGUGACCUGCCUUCGAGCGGGGGAUAACGUCCCGAAAGGGACGCUAAUACCGCAUAACAUCCUGCCUUUUAAGAGGUGGAGAUCAAAGCCGGGGAUUCGCAAGAACCUGGCACUUGAAGAGGGGCCCGCGCCUGAUUAGCUAGUUGGUGGGGUAAUGGCCUACCAAGGCAACGAUCAGUA